UAAUACAGAGGGUGCAAGCGUUAAUCGGAAUUACUGGGCGUAAAGCGUGCGUAGACGGUUAUGUAAGUCAGGUGUGAAAGCCCCGGGCUCAACCUGGGAAUUGCAUUUGAGACUGCAUAGCUAGGGUGCGGAAGAGGGAAGCGGAAUUUCCGGUGUAGCGGUGAAAUGCGUAGAUAUCGGAAGGAACACCA
RNAcentral lists this ribosomal RNA (191 nucleotides) under uncultured bacterium. RNAcentral describes it as "partial 16S ribosomal RNA". It matches the Rfam family "Bacterial small subunit ribosomal RNA", at positions 521 to 711 of the family's 1533-position model. The record is from RNAcentral.